CNGUCUGGUGCCAGCAGCCGCGGUAAUUCCAGCUCCAAUAGCGUAUAUUAAAGUUGUUGCAGUUAAAAAGCUCGUAGUUGAAUUUCGGGGUCAGUAGGUUGGUCGUGCCACCGGUACGUACUGGUCUCACUGAUUCCUCCUUCCUGAUGAGCUGUAAUGCCAUUAAUUUGGUGUUGCAGGGAAUCUGGACUGUUACUUUGAAAAAAUUAGAGUGUUUAAAGCAGGCUAACGCUUGAAUACAUUAGCAUGGAAUAAUGAAAUAGGACGUUCGAUCCUAUUUUGUUGGUUUCUAGGAUUGACGUAAUGAUUAAUAGGGAUAGUUGGGGGCAUUAGUAUUCAAUUGUCAGAGGUGAAAUUCUUGGAUUUAUUGAAGACUAACUACUGCGAAAGCAUUUGCCAAGGAUGUUUUCAUUAAUCAAGAACGAAAGUUAGGGGAUCGAAGACGAUCAGAUACCGUCGUAGU
Molecule: ribosomal RNA, 463 nt
Filed under: uncultured Glomus
Lineage: Eukaryota; Fungi; Glomeromycota; Glomeromycetes; Glomerales; Glomeraceae
Description: SSU rRNA
Rfam family: Eukaryotic small subunit ribosomal RNA
Source: RNAcentral